Molecule: ribosomal RNA, 250 nt
Filed under: uncultured archaeon
Lineage: Archaea
Description: partial 16S ribosomal RNA
Rfam family: Archaeal small subunit ribosomal RNA
Source: RNAcentral
GGCAGCUCGAGUGAUGGCCGAUCUUAUUGGGCCUAAAGCGUCCGUAGCUGGCCUUGCAAGUCCGUCGGGAAAUCCACGCGCUUAACGUGUGGGCGUCCGGCGGAAACUGUGCGGCUUGGGACAGGAAGGCUCGAGGGGUACGUUCGGGGUAGGAGUGAAAUCCUGUAAUCCUGGACGGACCGCCGAUGGGGAAACCACUUCAAGAGAACGGAUCCGACAGUGAGGGACGAAAGCUAGGGUCUCGAACCGG